AGCAGCCGCGGUAAUUCCAGCUCCAAUAGCGUAUAUUAAAGUUGUUGCAGUUAAAAAGCUCGUAGUUGAAUUUCGGGAUCAAUAUGUUGGUCGUGCCUUGGUACGUACUAAUUUAUUGGUUUCUUCCUUCUGACGAACCACGAUGUCAUUAAUUUGGUGUCUUGAGGAAUCAGGACUGUUACUUUGAAAAAAUUAGAGUGUUUAAAGCAGGCUCACGCUUGAAUACAUUAGCAUGGAGUAAUGAAAUAGGACGUUUGAUUCUAUUUUGUUGGUUUCUAGGAUCGACGUAAUGAUUAAUAGGGAUAGUUGGGGGCAUUAGUAUUCAAUUGUCAGAGGUGAAAUUCUUGGAUUUAUUGAAGACUAACUACUGCGAAAGCAUUUGCCAAGGAUGUUUCGUUAAUCAAGAACGAAAGUUAGGGGAUCGAAGACGAUCAGAUACCGUCGUAGUCU
RNAcentral lists this ribosomal RNA (450 nucleotides) under uncultured Glomeromycotina. RNAcentral describes it as "SSU rRNA". It matches the Rfam family "Eukaryotic small subunit ribosomal RNA", at positions 569 to 1026 of the family's 1831-position model. Lineage: Eukaryota; Fungi; Glomeromycota. The record is from RNAcentral.